Long non-coding RNA from Ornithodoros turicata, 570 nucleotides. RefSeq lists it as uncharacterized. The transcript has 3 exons. NCBI's taxonomy places the organism in Eukaryota, Metazoa, Arthropoda, Arachnida, Ixodida, Argasidae. The record is from RefSeq and is a predicted model, not a curated record.
AAGUCGAAGUGGCGACCACUCAACCGGUCAAAUAUGUAAUGACAAUGUCAUUCGCUAGCGUAAUUGUAUAAAUACUCGGAAGAACGCCCCGAGAUCAGACGCAUCUUUGGAAGCACUGAAGGUUUGUAUCCAGCGAUCAAUACCAUUCUCAACAUGGCCACGGCGAUUUUCAUGGUCCUGCUAGUUGCUGUAGUAGCAGUUGCUGCCGAGUAUCAGCACCCGUGGGAAGGAGGCAAGCACUCGAACUGUGACUUGGAAAGUACCACGAGCAUAUGUGGGCCCAGCGCUGGAUCACAUUGGCCUCGCCUUUGGAUAUACCAGCCACCCCGGGGUUGCCAAAACAAGCAAGUGUGCCCGUCCUUGCUGUCGUUUGCUUUCAAAAAUUACAGAGAAUGCAGAGACGCACAUAAACGUUGCGAGAAAUUGGAGAGCUGUCUUAAACAGCAAGAAAGGCGCUACUAAGGACGAAGGACGAUAUGGAUCUUCACGCCACAUCGUGCUCUACGAGCUGAACACUUCCUGCGCACUGUAGCACAUGAAAAUAAUAAACAGUACAUUUUCUUGUGGCCA